This 351-nucleotide ribosomal RNA is filed under the name uncultured bacterium. RNAcentral describes it as "bacterial SSU rRNA". It matches the Rfam family "Bacterial small subunit ribosomal RNA", at positions 8 to 350 of the family's 1533-position model. The record is from RNAcentral.
AGAGUUUGAUCAUGGCUCAGGAUGAACGCUAGCUACAGGCUUAACACAUGCAAGUCGAGGGGCAGCAUGGUCUUAGCUUGCUAAGGCCGAUGGCGACCGGCGCACGGGUGAGUAACGCGUAUCCAACCUGCCUUACACUCUUGGACAGCCUCCUGAAAAGGAGAUUAAUACAAGAUGUUAUCAUGAGUAAGCAUUUUCGCAUGAUUAAAGGUUUACCGGUGUAAGAUGGGGAUGCGUUCCAUUAGAUAGUAGGCGGGGUAACGGCCACCUAGUCUUCGAUGGAUAGGGGUUCUGAGAGGAAGGUCCCCCANAUUGGAACUGAGACACGGUCCAAACUCCGUACGGGAGGCA